CUAACAGGAUUCCCCUAGUAACUGCGAGUGAAGCGGGAAAAGCUCAAAUUUAAAAUCUGGCGGUCUUUGGCCGUCCGAGUUGUAGUCUGGAGAAGUGCUUUCCGCGCUGGACCGUGUAUAAGUCUCUUGGAACAGAGCGUCAUAGAGGGUGAGAAUCCCGUCUUUGACACGGACUACCAGUGCUUUGUGAUGCGCUCUCAAAGAGUCGCGUUGUUUGGGAAUGCAGCGCAAAAUGGGUGGUGAAUUCCAUCUAAAGCUAAAUAUUGGCGAGAGACCGAUAGCGAACAAGUACCGUGAGGGAAAGAUGAAAAGCACUUUGGAAAGAGAGUUAAACAGUACGUGAAAUUGCUGAAAGGGAAACGCUUGAAGUCAGUCGCGUUGUCCGGGACUCAGCCUUGCUUCGGCUUGGUGCACUUUCCGGAUGACGGGCCAGCAUCGAUUUUGACCGCUGGAAAAGGGCUGGAGGAAUGUGGCACCUUCGGGUGUGUUAUAGCCUCCAGUCGCAUACGGCGGUUGGGAUCGAGGAACGCAGCACGCCUUACGGCGGGGGUUCGCCCACCUUCGUGCUUAGGAUGCUGGCAUAAUGGCUUUAAACGACCCGUCUUGAAACACGGACCAAGGAGUCUAACAUGCCUGCGAGUGUUUGGGUGGAAAACCCGAGCGCGUAAUGAAAGUGAAAGUCGGGACCUCUGUCGUGGAGGGCACCGACGCCCGGACCUGACGUUCUCUGACGGAUCCGCGGUAGAGCAUGUAUGUUGGGACCCGAAAGAUGGUGAACUAUGCCUGAAUAGGGUGAAGCCAGAGGAAACUCUGGUGGAGGCUCGUAGCGAUUCUGACGUGCAAAUCGAUCGUCAAAUUUGGGUAUAGGGGCGAAAGACUAAUCGAACCAUCUAGUAGCUGGUUCCUGCCGAAUU
This 914-nucleotide ribosomal RNA is filed under the name Trametes sanguinea. Its description in RNAcentral is "eukaryotic LSU rRNA". It matches the Rfam family "Eukaryotic large subunit ribosomal RNA", at positions 65 to 967 of the family's 3401-position model. Lineage: Eukaryota; Fungi; Basidiomycota; Agaricomycetes; Polyporales; Polyporaceae. The record is from RNAcentral.